GCAUCAGUAGUCCAGUGGUUAGGAUGCUGCCCUCCCAGCCUCAAAUGAGCUGAAAGGCAGAGGUCGCGAGUUCGAAUCUUGCCUGAUGCA
Lindgomyces ingoldianus is the source of this 90-nucleotide non-coding RNA. NCBI's taxonomy places the organism in Eukaryota, Fungi, Ascomycota, Dothideomycetes, Pleosporales, Lindgomycetaceae. The record is from the annotation of a RefSeq genome assembly.